UACUAGAGUAGCACUCGCAUAUCAAUAAGCGGAGGAAAAGAAACUAACAAGGAUUCCCCUAGUAACGGCGAGUGAAGCGGGAAGAGCUCAAAUUUGAAAUCUUAAAGGGUUUCCCUUUACGAAUUGUAGUUUAAAGAAGUGUUUUCUGUUGAGGUUUUGGUAAAAGUUCUUUGGAAUAGGACAUCAUAGAGGGUGAGAAUCCCGUAUUUGACCUUUACUUUCAACUUUGUGAUACACUUUCAAAGAGUCGGAUUGUUUGGGAAUGCAGUCCAAAAUGGGUGGUAAAUUUCAUCUAAAGCUAAAUAUUGGCGAGAGACCGAUAGCGAACAAGUACCGUGAGGGAAAGAUGAAGAGAACUUUGAAAAGAGAGUUAAACAGUACGUGAAAUUGUCAAAAGGGAAGCGUUUGACACCAGUGUUGUUUUUCUGAAAAUCAAUUAAAGAGCUGUUUAUGCUAAGCUGUUUAGACUUUAUCAGCUAACUGUUUAGUUUUGAGCUUUUCUUUAAUGCACUUUUCAGUUAACAAGUCAACAUCAAUUUCUUUUGCUGUAAAAAAGCUUGAGGAAGGUGGCUUGAGAUUCGUCUUAAGUGUUUAUAGCCUCUUGCCUAUGCAGUCGGAGAGAUUGAGGUCUGCAGCGUAGAUCCUUCGGGGCUAAAUGCAUUUGUGCUAAGUUAUAGCAUUUUAUAGACAACUUGUUGACUAUGAUUUGUCUUGUAGCUUACUCGCUUAUGUUAUUUUACCUACGCUUAGGAUGUUGAAGACUCUACAGAGAU
This 773-nucleotide ribosomal RNA is filed under the name uncultured Neocallimastigales. RNAcentral's name for it is "partial large subunit ribosomal RNA". It matches the Rfam family "Eukaryotic large subunit ribosomal RNA", at positions 20 to 632 of the family's 3401-position model. Lineage: Eukaryota; Fungi; Neocallimastigomycota; Neocallimastigomycetes; Neocallimastigales. The record is from RNAcentral.